CAGUAGCCGCGGUAAUACGAAGGGUGCAAGCGUUACUCGGAAUUACUGGGCGUAAAGCGUGCGUAGGUGGUGGUUUAAGUCCGUUGUGAAAGCCCUGGGCUCAACCUGGGAAUUGCAGUGGAUACUGGAUCACUAGAGUGUGGUAGAGGAUAGUGGAAUUUCCGGUGUAGCAGUGAAAUGCGUAGAGAUCGGAAGGAACAUCUGUGGCGAAGGCGACUAUCUGGGCCAACACUGACACUGAGGCACGAAAGCGUGGGGAGCAAACAGGAUUAGAUACCCCUGUAGUCCCUGUCUCUUAUAA
Molecule: ribosomal RNA, 301 nt
Filed under: uncultured bacterium
Lineage: Bacteria
Description: partial 16S ribosomal RNA
Rfam family: Bacterial small subunit ribosomal RNA
Source: RNAcentral